UCGAAAGAGCGGAGCGGUUCGCAAUUGAAUCUCAGGGAGUCGCUGAAACCGAGCUCCCCACCACGACUCCUUCACUUUUCCCCCUCCCCAACAUGCCGGUUCGAUCCAAUCUGAUCGCAUCCUAGGACCUCCCCCGACCAUGGAACCCUAGCGCUGCGCCGCCGCCGCCGCCAUAGUUCCCCGACCACCCCUGCAACCCCACCAUCUCCUCGCCCCUCCUCAUCCCCGACCAAAUUCUCACCCCUGCAACCUCGCCAUCUCCUCGCCCCCUCCUCAUCCAAGGCAGCUUUCUACUCGGUAAUAACUUUGGGGGCAUACAGGUUGUGUGGACCUCUGGCGACUGAGAUCACCAGGGCCUCGUCCUCGUCGCCGGGAGCUCGGAUUCAUCGUCAGCAAGGCCUGCAUCCACGCCUACAUCACAUCUAGCAAGUUUUCCUGAAGAUUGUCUGUCGAUUGGAGUGACGAUAACACUACGAUCUUGACCGAGCUCUUUGUCCAGCAAGUGCAUGACACUUGACCCAAAAUGCUUACGAGGAAGUUGCAAAGGAUUUCAAAAUCAGAACAGGUCUGGAGUACACCAGGCUCCAGUUGAAGAACAAGUGGGAUAAGUUGAAGACUGGUUACAGCAAUUUCAGAAAGCUCAAGUUGAAGGAGACCGGUGGUGGUUGGGACUAUCAGAGAAACACCAUCAAGCAAGAUGCUGAAUGGUGGAAGAAAGCAAAGAUAGACAUUCCUGGCUGUGGCAAGUUCCAAAAGCGUGGACUACAAAAUGAGAAUAACUUAUCUAUCAUGUUUGGUGACAUCACGAGUGAUGGUACAGAUCACUGGAAUCCAUGUGCCUGAUUUUCAACGAGGUGUGGCGCCAAGAACACCUAAGGAGAAAUUUAACAAGAUACACUCAUCCAAGCUUAAUGUGAUCGAGAGAGCGUUUGGCGUGUGGAAAAUGAAGCGGCAGAUUCUACUAAAGAUGCCCAAUUAUUCGGUUGAAACUCAGAAGAUGAUAGUGGCUGCAACUAUGACCCUUCACAACUAUGUUCGAUAUCAUGAUAAGGGCGAUCUUCACUUUCUUCAAGUCGACAGAGAUCCCAGCUAUGUCCCAACUAUCCCUUCAAGGUAUCAACGGUACGCCAUCCCUCCA
Triticum urartu is the source of this 1138-nucleotide long non-coding RNA. RefSeq lists it as uncharacterized. The record is from RefSeq and is a predicted model, not a curated record. Lineage: Eukaryota; Viridiplantae; Streptophyta; Magnoliopsida; Poales; Poaceae.